Molecule: unclassified non-coding RNA, 193 nt
Filed under: plant metagenome
Description: partial contains small subunit ribosomal RNA, internal transcribed spacer 1, and 5.8S ribosomal RNA
Source: RNAcentral
UUUCCGUAGGUGAACCUGCGGAAGGAUCAUUACAGAGUUCAUGCCCGAAAGGGUAGACCUCCCACCCUUGUGUAUUAUUACUUUAUUGCUUUGGCGAGCGCAACUCGCCAGAGAAUACCAAAACUCUUUUUAUUAAUGUCGUCUGAGUACUAUAUAAUAGUUAAAACUUUCAACAACGGAUCUCUUGGUUCUG